RNAcentral lists this small nucleolar RNA (100 nucleotides) under Saimiri boliviensis boliviensis (Bolivian squirrel monkey). Its description in RNAcentral is "Small nucleolar RNA SNORA81 (ENSSBOG00000003562.1)". It matches the Rfam family "Small nucleolar RNA SNORA81". Lineage: Eukaryota; Metazoa; Chordata; Mammalia; Primates; Cebidae. The record is from RNAcentral.
ACCUUCUUGUUUAAGCUCUGUUCUAAAAUUGCGAAACUAGUAUCAUUUCUUAGCAUUUGUAAUAAAGCUAUAAGAGAAAACACAAGAAGAAAGAACAACU